This is a long non-coding RNA of Elgaria multicarinata webbii, 3219 nucleotides long. RefSeq lists it as uncharacterized. Lineage: Eukaryota; Metazoa; Chordata; Lepidosauria; Squamata; Anguidae. The transcript is spliced from 2 exons. The record is from RefSeq and is a predicted model, not a curated record.
GGCCCCCAAGCCUCACCAAAAAACGCUCGGCAAGCUUUGCUGGCAACGUCCCUUAUUUUUCCAGCCCAGCCGCUCCCCUCAUCUCUUCCGCGCUUUCUGCGCAUGCUCCUUUGCCGCGUUAACCCCCUCCCCCCCGUUCUGACGUAGUAAAGGGCCCCUCACGAGACAGAGAGCAGCUUCCGAAGUGCGGGCUGGUUGGCUGCGGCGUCGCCCUGACCUCCAGGAACGGCUGGAAGGCGCCCUCCCUGCCAGAACCGCAGCGCAAUCUAAUAAUACCUGUCUACUUGGAAGGCUCCUUUCUACCUUCAAGCCCAACUUAGAGAAUCAACCGCAUAUGCUGUGGACAGAGAUCUUUGUGCCAGGCCACAUGGAUACCUACCUGCUCUUAUGAGUCAGGAACUAUGAAGAACAGAGGAAGAAGAAUCUGCUGGGCAAGAUCUUGCCCCUUCCUGGAACUUCCCACACCUCAUUUGGCAGGGAGGCAGACUCCAUCCCACUCAGGAUCAGUGCUUGCAAUGUGAAUGGAAGCAGUAGGGGAAUUAUGAAAUCAGAAAGCUUUUCCCCACCCCCAAUUUUAACCAAAUCAAGCCUGGACUGCCUUCUUGCACUGGCUACAUAUUGGCUACCAGGCCAGAUUUAAGGUUUGGGUACUAGUGUACAAAGACCUAAACAACUUGGGACCUGGAUACCUGAGAAAGCUCCUCCCCUGCCUGGUCACUGAGGUUAUUGGAGGGAAUGCUCCUGGUGGUUCCACAUGGACCUAUGGCUCAUUUGGAAUCCACCAGGAGAAAAGCCUUUAGUGUGGUGGCCCCUUCUCUUUGGACUCCCUACCCCUGGAGGUCAGGCAGGUACCAACGCUAGGCUGCUUCCAGUGCCUCCUGAAAACAACUCUAUUUCGAGAAGCCUUAACUCAACAGACUAGCCACUGUUUUUACUUGUCCUUUGUUUUAAAUUGAACUAUUUUAAUUUGCUUUCUUAACCUUUCUUUUUAUUGUUUAUUCCUAUGUGCACCGCUCCGGAAUCAAUAUUAGAUAUGGAACGGUAUAUAAAUAUUGUAAAUAAAUAAGUGGGGAAGGAAUCCUCUGCACCUCAAUAAUUCAAACAUUGCUCCCAUCCUGGAACUUUCACUGCCUCCGCCCACUUUGAGAGACUUGAGUGAUGGCAUGGCCUUCUCCAAAUCAGUCUCACUGCAAACCUGAGACACUGCCACCGUGAGUCCUGUUUCCACAAACAGAAAAACAGCCUAUGGAAAACUCUCUCAAAGCCACAAAACAUGUGUGCUUGAGUUCCAAACUUGAGUCUGUCCAACACUCAGUACACUGGAUCAUAUUCGUUCCCUUGAACAUCUUGAUUGGUUAGAAUGCUCCCAGUUGUUGAUGUUAUUGUGAUGUCAUUGUGUCAAUGCUACCUCUGAUUAGCUCAUAACAUUUCAACUUCUAUCCUUGUUGGAACCACUUGUGGAGCAGGGCCGGCUCCAGGUUCAAGGUCCUGGAUUCAAUUGCUCUCUGGUAGGCUCUCUCUUCCAACCGUGGCCUUACUAGGCAGUGGCAGCAAACAAAAGAAUAGCAGCAGUGCUGGCUGGUUGGGUCUAACCAUCAGUUUGAUUUCCCACAAUGCUCCAGAGGAACAUUACAGGGGGAGCAUUGUGGGACCUCCUCCUCCUCAGAGUCCCAGAUUGGAAAAUGGGUGAAUGGCGGAAGAGGAGAAGAAAGGGAGGUCCCAUUGCCCAAGCAAAAUUUUGAUCAUGUGACCUUCAAUGGAGCCGUUCUUCAAAACAGAACACAUUUUCUUUGUAAAAUUGGGUCAUCUUGUAAUUUGUUUCAUUGGGAGGUAACUACAGGAGACCAUAUCAUAAGAGAUCUUGGUUUUCUGAAAUGGGCAAGAUAAGAGGAACCUUUAUUCUUUCAAGUCAUUUACAAAAGGCUUUUUUUUCCCCCUGUAGAAGCAAGCAGGAGUCUGAUUGUGUCCUAAAAUCCGGAAUGGAUUAACACCUCAAAGUCAGUUAAUACAGAGACAUGCCCAGUAACCAAACUGGAAAUGUAAGGUCUGAGUUUGAACUCUCCUGAAACUACAGCUAGUCACCAGAUAAAAGUAAAUAUUAAUGAGUGUAAUACUAUGCAUAUUUAGACAGAAAAAAGUCCUACAAAUGGCUGGGGAAUGCUGGCAGUUUUAGGACUUUUUUUCUGUCUAAACAUGCAUAGGGUUGCACCCUAACAAACUGAUUCUGUUGAUCAGGGGUGGGCAAUUUGUGGCCCCCUCCAGAUUUUUUGGGCCUACAAUUCCCAUGAUCCCUCACUAUUGGCUGGGGCUGAUGGGAGUUGUAGACCAAAACAUCUGUUGCCCAUACUUGCUAUAGAGAGGUGUAUCUAAGCAUGCUGAUUUAAAUGGGUGUAGACUCCUAACUUUGUACAGGACUGGGCUGUAAGUGUGCCAAGCCCAUGCCAGAAUGAGCAGUUCUCUCCUGUGGGAUUUAGCUCUUCUAUAAAGCACAUCCCAUGUUCAGCUUCCCUAACCUGCCAUCCUCCAGGUGCAUUAGACAACUCCCAUAAGCUGAGCAACAGGGUUGGGAAAGGAUGGCUUAGCUGUGUGCAGGCCAGACAGUUAGGCUUUUAUUCAAGAAAUCCUGGACACCCACAGAUAGGAGGGGCCCAAACAUCAGUUGCGGGAAGAUGGCGUUGGCAGGUUCACGUAGCUUUUCAUGGGUGGGAGGGGUCUGAUCUUGCGUCCCGCCCACCCCCCUUUGCGCUGCCACAGGCCGCUUCUGGGCCGCUUUCCUAACCACCGGUUCCGGCCAGCUUUCCCAAUGAUCCGUUUGUUGUGGUCGACAUUGGAAACUCGUCCCACUGUACACAUGCAAGUUUCCAGAACCUGAAAAAGUGAGGAAGGCCAUGAAGCAGGAUAUUGCAGACAUUUUCACAUGAUUUUUUAGAGGAACCUGGCAAAUGUUCACCUUGUCCUCCCGUGUCUUCGAUAGCUUUUAACAACAACUGGAUCUUUUUACGUGCCAUCUGCUGUUUUUAUCUGAGUUUUUUCUUAUGGGUCUGGGUCCACUGUCUUUUUCUUUAAUCUAACCUCCUUUUAACCUGCUAUAUUUAUUAUUGUUAUUAUAUUUCACCUGCUAAUUUAUUUUUGUAUUGUGUUUUUACUACAAGCUGCCAAGAAGCCAUGUUGCAAAAAGCAGGUUACAAGUAUAAACAUAAAUAAACAAAUACCUACAUA